AACCAGGAUGGGAGUUGCGGCUAAAUCUGAACAAUCCACAGCUGCACCAGCCGUUCCUCCAAUGGAAUGCCCUCAGGCGCAGUCGAGCUUUGACUUCCCUGCAUUCUCGAGCGCAAGGCUGCCAACCGAAGAUCGAGGGAAGGUGCCGGCGACCUCAGCAGAUGAUGGGUCAUCGGGGCUUCCCAUCCUUUUUGAUAUUAGGAUCCCCAAGGGUGA
Molecule: long non-coding RNA, 216 nt
Filed under: Elaeis guineensis (African oil palm)
Lineage: Eukaryota; Viridiplantae; Streptophyta; Magnoliopsida; Arecales; Arecaceae
Description: long non-coding RNA (EGUI_LNC024959)
Source: RNAcentral